This 492-nucleotide ribosomal RNA is filed under the name uncultured bacterium. RNAcentral's name for it is "partial 16S ribosomal RNA". It matches the Rfam family "Bacterial small subunit ribosomal RNA", at positions 29 to 507 of the family's 1533-position model. The record is from RNAcentral.
AGUGAACGCUGGCGGUAGGCCUAACACAUGCAAGUCGAACGGCAGCACAGUAAGAGCUUGCUCUUACGGGUGGCGAGUGGCGGACGGGUGAGGAAUACAUCGGAAUCUACUUUUUCGUGGGGGAUAACGUAGGGAAACUUACGCUAAUACCGCAUACGACCUACGGGUGAAAGCAGGGGAUCUUCGGACCUUGCGCGAUUGAAUGAGCCGAUGUCGGAUUAGCUAGUUGGCGGGGUAAAGGCCCACCAAGGCGACGAUCCGUAGCUGGUCUGAGAGGAUGAUCAGCCACACUAGAACUAGGACACGGUCCAGACUCCUACGGGAGGCAGCAGUGGGGAAUAUUGGACAAUGGGCGCAAGCCUGAUCCAGCCAUACCGCGUGGGUGAAGAAGGCCUUCGGGUUGUAAAGCCCUUUUGUUGGGAAAGAAAAGCAGCAGGUUAAUACCCCGCUGUUCUGACGGUACCCACAGAAUAAGCACCGGCUAACUUCGUG